CCUUAUCACCUUCCCCAGCAUAAAGCCUGUCGUGUUUCAAUGGGUUGAGUGCACGUGCACACAGUAAUAGUUCCGUCCGUUGGAGUCGGAGGGCAUCGAUCCCCCUACCUCCCGCACAUCAUCUGCGGCGCUCAGCAUCGCAUGCUAAGCGGGCGCUCUACCAUUUGAGCUACGACCCCUGCACAUCCACACCACUCUGCGCUCGAUGACGGGAUCGAACCGUCGACCUUACGGUUAACAGCCGUGCGCUCUACCGACUGAGCUAACCGAGCAGGUCUGGCAGAUGGCUGUACGGCAGCACCAAGCAUACGCCACAUGCCGUACUGUACGACUGCUACGGCUGAAGCUGUGCACCGUGCCGUACGACAAAAGAACAGAAAAAAUGCGAUGCGAUUAGGUUGAUACAACCUACUGCAUACCAAGGUGCAGGUAAUGCGUCAGCAACCAGCUGCAAACAGGGCUCUAUCGAUGUAUUGGUCGGGUCCGUGCCGUCAGUGCACACCAGCAUAACACAUAAGAAAUGGGGACCUGCAAUUCAUUCAUGCAAAAAAUGUAAUAAUGUAGCUGGCCGCUCGUCGCUGGCCGCCGAUUGGAAUGCUGGAAUAAAAAAAUACCCUGUGUUCGUGCAUGUAUGCCUUGAGGGGGUAGUAGCCGGCCCAGGCCAAAAAGGCCUCUCGAGAUGCGAGGAACAUGUGCUCCAGUGCGUAUUCAUGUAUGUUUUCGCGGGAAGCCUUCGUUGCAAAAAGGAAACAUAUGUAGCUGGCAAGCAAUAAAAACAGGGCCGGGUGUGGGUGCACUCCCCCAAAGCGACAACUAGGGCCUGCAGACCAACUACUUCAGGGCGGUAGUACACAAACACCCGAAGUAACCAGCACAACCACGCACACAAGUCCAUGCAAAUCGUCCGUUGGAGUCGGAGGGCAUCGAUCCCCCUNNNNNNNNNNNNNNNNNNNNNNNNNNNNNNNNNNNNNNNNNNNNNNNNNNCUAUGAGAUUGUGUGAAGAAGGGGGCAAUAGCUUCAUCCGUGGCCACCACUAGCCUGGCAGUGUUUACCUUCCCGGGUGUGUUUGGGUGCACCCUCAUGCUCAUGCUUCUGACCCAUGCCGACUUCUGAAACGUCAGUGGCAUUUUCGGGUCCAGCACGCACCAUCAGCACAUCCCGUGGAAUCUGUGCCUGGAAUCAACGGCGGCAGCAGCAAGUUUCCACUCCGGGUCGGCUUUUGCAGGUGUGUCACUACACCAGUGGUUCCAUCAUCUCGGCCAUCAGCAAUGGAAUCGAUUGGCAUCCAUCCAGCCUCUUCUGUUCAAGAAUCUGUCCCGGGAUCACUUCCAAAACAGCCUUCCCGGGACAGCACACUCUGUACCUUCCUUCCUUAUCACCUUCCCCAGCAUAAAGCCUGUCGUGUUUCAAUGGGUUGAGUGCACGUGCACACAGUAAUAGUUCUGUCCGUUGGAGUCGGAGGGCAUCGAUCCCCCUACCUCCCGCACAUCAUCUGCAGCGCUCAGCAUCGCAUGCUAAGCGGGCGCUCUACCAUUUGAGCUACGACCCCUGCACAUCCUCACCACUCUACGCUCGAUGACGGGAUCGAACCGUCGACCUUACGGUUAACAGCCGUGCGCUCUACCGACUGAGCUAACCGAGCAGGUCUGGCAGAUGGAUGUAUGACAGCACCAAGCAUACGCCACAUGCCGUACUGUACGACUGCUACGGCUGAACCUGUGCACCGUGCCGUACGACAAAAGAACAGAAAAAAUGCGAUGCGAUUAGGUUGAUACAACCUACUGCAUACCAAGGUGCAGGUAAUGCGUCAGCAACCAGCUGCAAACAGGGCUCUAUCGAUGUAUUGGUCGGGUCCGUGCCGUCAGUGCACACCAGCAUAACACAUAAGAAAUGGGGACCUGCAAUUCAUUCAUGCAAAAAAUGUAAUAAUGUAGCUGGCCGCUCGUCGCUGGCCGCCGAUUGGAAUGCUGGAAUAAAAAAAUACCCUGUGUUCGUGCAUGUAUGCCUUGAGGGGGUAGUAGCCGGCCCAGGCCAAAAAGGCCUCUCGAGAUGCGAGGAACAUGUGCUCCAGUGCGUAUUCAUGUAUGUUUUCGCGGGAAGCCUUCGUUGCAAAAAGGAAACAUAUGUAGCUGGCAAGCAAUGAAAACAGGGCCGGGUGUGGGUGCACUCCCCCGAAGCGACAACUAGGGCCUGCAGACCAACUACUUCAGGGCGGUAGUACCCAAACACCCGAAGUAACCAGCACAACCACGCACACAAGUCCAUGCAAAUCGUACAGCGGCACUCCCAAUUCACAGGAAACUUUAGUUUUCUCGACGCUUCGCUUACAAAGCUAUGAGAUUGUGUGAAGAAGGGGGCAAUAGCUUCAUCCGUGGCCACCACUAGCCUGGCAGUGUUUACCUUCCCGGGUGUGUUUGGGUGCACCCUCAUGCUCAUGCUUUUGACCCAUGCCGACUUCUGAAACGUCAGUGGCAUUUUCGGGUCCAGCACGCACCAUCAGCACAUCCCGUGGAAUCUGUGCCUGGAAUCAACGGCGGCAGCAGCAAGUUUCCACUCCGGGUCGGCUUUUGCAGGUGUGUCACUACACCAGUGGUUCCAUCAUCUCGGCCAUCAGCAAUGGAAUCGAUUGGCAUCCAUCCAGCCUCUUCUGUUCAAGAAUCUGUCCCGGGAUCACUUCCAAAACAGCCUUCCCGGGACAGCACACUCUGUACCUUCCUUCCUUAUCACCUUCCCCAGCAUAAAGCCUGUCGUGUUUCAAUGGGUUGAGUGCACGUGCACACAGUAAUAGUUCCGUCCGUUGGAGUCGGAGGGCAUCGAUCCCCCUACCUCCCGCACAUCAUCUGCGGCGCUCAGCAUCGCAUGCUAAGCGGGCGCUCUACCAUUUGAGCUACGACCCCUGCACAUCCACACCACUCUGCGCUCGAUGACGGGAUCGAACCGUCGACCUUACGGUUAACAGCCGUGCGCUCUACCGACUGAGCUAACCGAGCAGGUCUGGCAGAUGGCUGUACGGCAGCACCAAGCAUACGCCACAUGCCGUACUGUACGACUGCUACGGCUGAAGCUGUGCACCGUGCCGUACGACAAAAGAACAGAAAAAAUGCGAUGCGAUUAGGUUGAUACAACCUACUGCAUACCAAGGUGCAGGUAAUGCGUCAGCAACCAGCUGCAAACAGGGCUCUAUCGAUGUAUUGGUCGGGUCCGUGCCGUCAGUGCACACCAG
RNAcentral lists this long non-coding RNA (3223 nucleotides) under Volvox carteri. RNAcentral's name for it is "long non-coding RNA (VCAR_LNC003609)". Lineage: Eukaryota; Viridiplantae; Chlorophyta; Chlorophyceae; Chlamydomonadales; Volvocaceae. The record is from RNAcentral.